CCUUGUUCUGUCCAGGUUGUGCCUAGCCAUGAAACACUACAGUGGCGGCAAAGCGAUGCUGGAUGCGGGGAUGUCGCUAGCGCAAAGCACAAGCAUGCCACCGAGGCAGUGGGUUGGGAUAACCUGUUAAAGUACUUUGGUGUCUCACCCCAGCCUCUGCUGAACAGAUGUCUACAGCACUGAGUUAAAAAGGAUCUUGCCUGCAACAUGAGGGGAAAGAAUGAAAAGUCUGGGACUGGUUACCCUUGGCGAGAAGAUUUAACACAACAAAGGUCACGGUAGCUUGAGCUCCAGUGUUCAGGAGAUUCAGCAAACCUCACACAAGGCCAAGACUGACUUCAGCAUUCAUACAAGUAGCCAAUGUAAACAAUUCUCUCACUGCCCUGAAAUUUGGACUUGCUCACAGGAUGAAGCAGUGACCUACUGAACCUCUGGGAAGAGUAAUAUUAGCCUCCGUCUGGUCUGCUGCCUUCUUGGCUUGGGUCUGGCGACAGCCCAGCUACCCUGAGGACCAACGCAGGCACUCUGGUGUGGUGUGACCCCAGGGUGCUUGUAGGGCUGCUGCUCCCAUAAAAGAAGAGGAGAUACACAAUGAGAUCACUGAAGUAGAGACACCCCCUCUGCAUUUAGGCACCUAAAAACCCAGCUGCUUCUCAGAUGCAGCAGGUUCCCCAGCUCUGCUUCAAUCCACCUGGAGGACUGACCUACUGAGGACUAAUCCUGGGAUCUGUGAGUGCCAUUAGAUCCCAUGAAAGUGUUGACCACAGAGAACAUUCUUCCAUCACAGCCAAGAGCUGCUGCUCGAGAUGGAUUUCAAAGUGCCUACAGACACAUGUUCAUGACAGCAAGCCUCCGGGCUGACUCGCAGGCAGAUGACUGCCACUUAAACUGAGGUCACUUCUGAGGUCACCAGCACCCUCACUACAGACUGACUGGCUUUCAUGCACAAGUGAUGGAGUUUCUUGUUACAAAAUGAAAUACUAGGGUGUCAAGGAGGCCAGACAAGCAAUGCACUUGCUCUCAAGUGAAGAUGGUGGCUGCUGGUUCCUCUCAGAUUGGUGGUGCUGCUCCUUCAGGCUUCCCUAAGCCUUCUUGCCACCGUAUUGUUGCCUGGAGUACUGCUGCUGUCACUUCUUCAGCUUGUUCUAUACAACUGGAUUUUUCUUUUCUGGGUUUUCUGUACCUUCAAAUUUGGUUCUGCUUGCACACCCAACCAUGGUUGGAAUUGCAUUGAAAAGGCACCCAACAAAGAACAACACGAAGCAGCUGCCCAUACAGCCUGCUUAGCUUCAAGUGCAGUGGAGGAGAUGAUAGCUGCCCAGGUUGGACUCCUGAGCACGGAAAUGGCUCAAAAAAGGCCAAAACCAUACUGCAUGAAACGAUCUAUUGAGGAGUCAGCCUCCCUGACAGCACAGGGAGGAAGGCUAGGUGCUGAUAGGUUUAUGUAAGCUCUAUAACCCACCCUAUGCAAUAAGGAGAUUUGUUGCAAUUGCAACAGCCAAGAAUGGGGUGUCUCUAUCUUCCCUAGUGGUAGAAUGAGUGUGGGCGACCUAAGAAACUCCUAAAUGGGAUGAAGGGAUUGUUGCCUUCAGCUAAACUCUUGUCUUUGCCUCUUAGGACUUCAAGAUAAAGAGCAGGCCGUUGGAUCUAGUCAGGACUUACAGGAGCAGCCAGGCUGAUAACAACAUUUCAAGGCUUUCAGGCCCUCUGGAUUCAUUUUGGUCUAAUCCAUGUGUAGUUAAUUUUACUUCCUAAAGCCCUUUUGCAGGCUCUGUCAAAGGGUCUGUUCUUUCUCGCAUCCCACCUCAGGUGUACGUGGUGCCGGUGGGUAACCUUGAAGAGGUGCUGCACCCUACCACAAGCGCCUAGGUCGAUUGAUUCCCACAUGCUCUGUGGGCUCAAGAAGGCAACCUGGGGUCCCUUAGCCCAAAGGUGCAACCCCAAAAGGAGCGGUUACUGCUGAUACCAUGGCUGAAAAUUCCUCGGGCAUCUCUCACUGAACUUCAUUUCCUGCUUGGCUCUGGCAAAGCUCCCCGUUUCCAUGGUGAUGAUUUAUUCCUUUAAAUAGUUCCCAUUCAAGAACAAUAUCAUGGGUCCUUCCCUGUUGUUGGUUUAAUUAAAAAUAACUUACCCUUCUCCUGGCGUCACAUCUUUGGCUGAAGCAGUUGGAAUUGGACACAAGCCUCCAACCUCUCUGAUCCGCUCUUGCUCCCACCCAGAGAUGACCCUUCUGCCUCCUUGCUGUUCAGUGUAACCCCCCAGGUCUGUCCUUGGCCCUUCCUGACCUUCCCUACUGAGUUGCCUCACACAGGUGGAUGUGGAAGGAAAACGCAGAGAGGAAGAAAAGAGGGACCGGCUGAGCUCUCUCAGGACAGCACUGCGCAGCCCAGCGUCCACCCAGCACUGGAAGGGCAGCCUGGCGCGCUCCACAGCUCUGCCCUUGAGCUUUCCUUGCUGCGAGCGGGGAGGCUUGUGAGAAAUAGGAAACCUCGUGAGAACAGCCCAGCUCAUGAUGAAACGGUCAUAGUGCAUCACUCAUCGCUGCAGCCGGGAUGUUCAAAUAAGCUGCCAAAGAGGGAGCCUUUCCUCUCCCCCCUAGUCCUUGGUUCCCAAAGCAGAUAUUUUUUUCUGUGAGUAGAACAAGGACUUCUAACCUGAAAACUGGAAACAAAACAAAAAAGAAAGAAAAUUAAAAGGCUGAACUGCUUAUUUGGUGUAUUUUAAAGUGUUCAUUUUAUUGCAUAGAAGUCUGAAAAGGCAGCCUGGUCUCCCUACAACAGGGACUGUUCGGUGUUCCUUGGGACAGUUACUUCUUGCUUUGCAUAAAGAAGGAGAUGGAGCAUCUGGUUUCUCUGCUUCAUUUUAAAUGCCAAUGCUUAUUUUGUUAAUACAUUUACAUUCCAAUUUUCUUCACGCACAGUGAAAAAGGAACUCUUUGGGGUUCUUCUAGAUAGAAGCACAUUAGCAUGCUUGUUUUUCAGGCACCAGUAGCAGACAUGCAUUUAGAGCCUCAGGAGUUCAACCACCAGUGAGGAGAGCAGGCUUUGGGGAAAGUGAAUUCCCUAUUUACGAAACAGAUUUCUGAUUCACUGCAGAAAUUUUCCGACUUGCUGCAUUAACUACAGCCAGCAUUAGCUUAGGCUGGUAGAUGGACAAAAAUCUAUCUACAAAAAAUAAAAGUAUAUAAUAUAGCUUUACAAAAACCUUUUGCUCAGGCACACAAAACAGCAUCCCAGGAGCAGCAGGUAGCCAGCUAAUCCAGAAAGGCCGGUACAGGUACGAUUCCUUUCACAACACGUGGGCUGUGCAAUCUUUUAAAGCAGUUGCAGCAACUUUCAGACGAGCAGUGAAACUCAUCCUUAUAAGGUGGGAAAGCUCCAUGUUCUGCUGUGAGAAGACUGGAAUGUGAGCAUGGCAAGGAUUGCUUCAUGUGAGCCCUUAUCAGAGAGAUUGGCGAUAAAACUGAAGAAGUUCAUGUGACACCAGAAGAAUUUCCCCCUUAUCUAAAGGAAGCCGGAGAUGUGCAAAUCAGAGGUACAACACGCAGGAUGAGUUAUGAGGAGGAAAUGAUGUAAAGAGGCCAGACUCUUUGGAAAGUUGCCUGCUUGCUUGAGUGUGUCCUAUUUUCUGCUUUGGGGGAUUGUAUUGACAUCAACACAACAGCAAUUUUAGAAACACUUCACUGGAAGCUUGAAUCUGCCAACUGUAGGACAAAGAGACAACAUCCAAAGUCCUUAGGACCCUCAGAGUGUUCCAGCCCUAUUUCUGACCUCUCUGUGACAUUGCAUUGGGAGAAAGCGAGGGAGGAUUUUGACAUAAGCCUUUCAAUCUAUCAGUUAUUUGUCAUUUCCCUCAGGCAAUUUUUCCUGCGAGUAGCAGCCUCUAUGCCUUUUAAAAUACAGUGGGGGAAGAUGCUAUGCUAUCAAAAUGGUUCAUUUGCCACUUACCAGACACCCACAAAGUAUGCCCAGAAGAGAUUUUUCAAUCAUUUAAACCUUUGUUUUAAAUGGCUUGUUUUCUUUACAAGCAAAGACAAAAAUGCUACUUCUUGUAUAGAAUGUAGGCAUGCCAAGCGUUAAAUUCCAGCUAUUUCCUCCGUACCCUUUUCAAAGCCUGGCUAGAAGAGUCUUGCAAGGUUGUAAGAAGCCUGUGUCCUCCUCAGCUUCUCUUGACACAUCACUUUAGACAGUGUCUCUCUGCAUGCUCCCUCGUUAAUCUCCCCAUCAAACCCCUCCUGCUUCCAUCCCUUGUGCCACUGCUGCUGUGUUUUUCCAGUUUUACUUCUUUACCAUGGUGCAGGGCAAGGGCAGCAAGCAGCUCCAUCUGCCACCAGACCCUUUCCCUACCCAAUCUACCAGCAGGACACAUGGCCACCAGUCUUGCACCAGCAGGAGAUGUUGUCCAUCUUGUGAACAUACAGGGGAGAGACCCAGGUCUUACUCAAACAUUGAAGGCAAGAAACCUGCUUUCACACAGAGCAGAUGUUUUCCACAUAGUCAUAAGUUUCCAUGGAGAAGGCAGGACUUCAUUCCUAAAACCAGACAGACCCAAACAUCGCUAAGUUUCCCAUUGGGACCACGUAACCUGAUGGCCCCAAUAUGUCCUUCCUCCUUCCCUUUCUGUGGUUCUUUACAACCUCUCCUUCUCCACGUCUUUCCUUUCGCCUGGUCUCAAUGCUUGGCCAAAAUGCUGCUUAUCCCACCCAGCACUGCAUGAUGGAGAGCCAGACAUCAUAUUUUCCCUUGCAUGGUCCAUGAACUCUAGCACGAGCAGUCACAAAGCACAGGACUCCUGGCAAAGCCAGAGGGCUGUGAGGGAAGGACCACCAGCUCACCUGGUCCCCAGGCAGUGCAGACCCGGCACACUGUUUGGCCAGGAGAUCUCCAAUGCAAACCGGGUACCAUGAGAAGAGGUCACCAGCGGUAUUUUAGUUCUAGUUUAGUUUUUUAGUAUUUUAGUUGUGGUGCUAUGAGGCCAUGCUACAGCAGAUACUGUCUUUCAGGCAUGUUUUUUUUAUCAAAAGACCUUGUCCUUCAUGAGGAGCUCAGAGCAUGUUUUAUAAAGAAUAGCACUGGGUUAUUUUUAUCAAAGACAAUGUGGCCCAAGCAUAAUGGGGCUCAGCGUGACUUGCUUUUUCCCAGAACAAUAGCCAUUGUUCUGGUGGAGCUGAGGACAGUUUGGGCUCUUACCAAUAGCCAUUUUUAUAUAAACCAGGGGAAAAAAUAAAACAGAACCUGACUCCUUAGCUGGGAAGAGCUGCAGUGGUUUCUGCAUCGCUAUGUGACUAAAAUGUGGUAAAAACACAAGCCAGUCUCAAGCCAGCAG
This is a long non-coding RNA of Falco peregrinus (peregrine falcon), 5325 nucleotides long. RefSeq lists it as uncharacterized. Lineage: Eukaryota; Metazoa; Chordata; Aves; Falconiformes; Falconidae. The transcript has 3 exons. The record is from RefSeq and is a predicted model, not a curated record.